Molecule: long non-coding RNA, 659 nt
Organism: Mycetomoellerius zeteki
Lineage: Eukaryota; Metazoa; Arthropoda; Insecta; Hymenoptera; Formicidae
Exons: 5
Source: RefSeq, a predicted model, not a curated record
AAAUGAUAUUUUUUACAAAACUGAUUAAUUUGCAAUGCGGUAACAAUGCAAUUGUGUGUGUGCGAUCCAUAUAUGGUAGAUACUAUUUGAAGGUAGUAGUAAUAAAGGAAGGAAGAGAUAAUAGCGUUUGAGCGUUUGACGCUUGCAGUUGAAACUGUUCGAACUACAAAAUUUCAGUCACUGGAAUAAGAGCGACGGAUCUGUCGCUUCAAUUGCUUAUUUCAACACGUAAAAUUAUACCUUCGUGAUACUGUAGUUUACCUUACCAAUGGACUGGAAAUUCACAGGAAAUGGAAAAGAAGAAAAAUCUGAAAAGUUCCUCUUUGAUUAUCAAGUUAUAGAAUCUGGAUGCCACUAUUUACGAGUCAGUUGUUUUUGUCACGGAGUCAUACGUUAUCACUAUUUGAAAAUGCGUUAUCAAAUGGGGCAUUAGCACUUUAAGAGAAUAUCUGAUGUACAGGAAAAGAAAAUGGAAGAUAAAAGGAAAUAUGGAUCGCAGGUGUAUGAUAAACAAGAUAAAAUAAAUCGCGAAUAUAUUCCAUAGAAAUAUGAUUCUUUUAUUGGAGAACCUUUACAUCUAAGUUCUACUGCCGCGUUGAAAUCCGAUACCAUGUCUGCGCAGACCAGAGCAGGAUCGGAGCAAUCGGGUUUAGCAGGAC